AGUGAACGCUGGCGGUAGGCCUAACACAUGCAAGUCGAACGGCAGCACAGUAAGAGCUUGCUCUUACGGGUGGCGAGUGGCGGACGGGUGAGGAAUACAUCGGAAUCUACUUUUUCGUGGGGGAUAACGUAGGGAAACUUACGCUAAUACCGCAUACGACCUACGGGUGAAAGCAGGGGAUCUUCGCACCUUGCGCGAUUGAAUGAGCCGAUGUCGGAUUAGCUAGUUGGCGGGGUAAAGGCCCACCAAGGCGACGAUCCGUAGCUGGUCUGAGAGGAUGAUCAGCCACACUGGAACUGAGACACGGUCCAGACUCCUACGGGAGGCAGCAGUGGGGAAUAGUGGACAAUGGGCGCAAGCCUGAUCCAGCCAGACCGCGUGGGUGAAGAAGGCCUUCGGGUUGUAAAGCCCUUUUGUUGGGAAAGAAAAGCAGCAGGUUAAUACCCCGCUGUUCUGACGGUACCCAAAGAAUAAGCACCGGCUAACUUCGUG
Molecule: ribosomal RNA, 492 nt
Filed under: uncultured bacterium
Lineage: Bacteria
Description: partial 16S ribosomal RNA
Rfam family: Bacterial small subunit ribosomal RNA
Source: RNAcentral